AAGACUGUACUUUCAGGGAUCAGAUAUGGUCCAUUACUAGAGACUGUGCAGAGUAUCCGAGAUUACGAGGAUGAAAGGUAGCAUCCUCUCAGGAGUGUGAAGUGGUUCUUGGGCUUGCUUUUCUGUAGCUGUCUCUUGUCAUUGUUAAUCAUUCUUCUCUUCCUUUGGGGGAGGGGGGGAAGAAGACAGUUUGAGU
RNAcentral lists this small nucleolar RNA (196 nucleotides) under Neotoma lepida (desert woodrat). Its description in RNAcentral is "Small nucleolar RNA U3". It matches the Rfam family "Small nucleolar RNA U3". Rfam says of the family: Small nucleolar RNAs (snoRNAs) are involved in the processing and modification of rRNA in the nucleolus. There are two main classes of snoRNAs: the box C/D class, and the box H/ACA class. The record is from Rfam by way of RNAcentral. Lineage: Eukaryota; Metazoa; Chordata; Mammalia; Rodentia; Cricetidae.